GUGGAAGAAGGUGCUCUGGUCAGAUGAGACCAAAAUGGAACUUUUUGGCCAAAAUGCAAAACGCUAUGUGUGGCGGGAAACUAACACUGCACAUCACUCUGAACACACCAUCCCCACUGUCAAAUAUGGUGGUGGCAGCAUCAUGCUCUGGGGGUGCUUCUCUUCAGCAGGGACAGGGAAGCUGGUCAGAGUUGAUGGGAAGAUGGAUUGAGCCAAAUACAGGGCAAUCUUGGAAGAAAACCUCUUGGAGUCUGCAAAAGACUUGAGUACGGUGUACAUUUUAGGACAUCGUCAGGUCUCAAGAAAAAAGUUGUCAGGUAUCAGACAAAAAAUUGUCAGGUCUCAGUUCUCAAAAAAAAAGUUGUCAGGUAUCAGACAAAAAAUUGUCAGGUCUCAGUUCUCAAAAAAAAAUUGUCAGGUCUCAGACAAAAAAUUGUCAGGUCUCAGUUCUCAAAAAAAAUUGUCAGGUAUCAGACAAAAAAUUGUCAGGUCUCAGUUCUCAAGAAAAAAGUUGUCAGGUAUCAGACAAAAAAUUGUCAGGUCUCAGUUCUCAAGAAAAAAGUUGUCAGGUAUCAGACAAAAAAUUGUCAGGUCUCAGUUCUCAAAAAAAAAAUUGUCAGGUAUCAGACAAAAAAUUGUCAGGUCUCAGUUCUCAAGAAAAAAGUUGUCAGGUAGAACACAAGGUACCAUACAGAGAGAAAAUCUUCCUGCAGGUGGCGGUGUUGUCAUGUCCCACCCAAUGACACGACAGCUCCCCAAAAAUGAAGCCAAAACGUCUCUAUCGCCCCCUGGUGUCUGGCUGCAGUAUAUACGUCAUAAACCCCACCUCCUCCACAUUAGCGGAUGGGACUGGGGUCAGACUAAAAUAAAGUUAUUCUCCUCAGAUAAUUUUUUUCCAAAGAUUCUUUCUUUUGUUAUCAAUAGUUCUCAUCACACUGAUUGAUGUUCAAGGGGUCUCCUCUCCCAUAAGUUUGAUUCUAAUUCCUACCGCGGUGAUGUUAAAUUGGGGUGAAACGUCAUCAUAACAGCUUUGACUGGCAGCUGCAGUUACGGAGAAACUUGCGUAUCUCUGUUCGGGAAUA
Astatotilapia calliptera (eastern happy) is the source of this 1082-nucleotide long non-coding RNA. NCBI's taxonomy places the organism in Eukaryota, Metazoa, Chordata, Actinopteri, Cichliformes, Cichlidae. The record is from Ensembl.